Molecule: long non-coding RNA, 582 nt
Organism: Panicum virgatum (switchgrass)
Lineage: Eukaryota; Viridiplantae; Streptophyta; Magnoliopsida; Poales; Poaceae
Exons: 2
Source: RefSeq, a predicted model, not a curated record
GCCCCUCAGCUAGUACAGUUAUCUCCUGUUCCAGUGCCGCCAUCCAAGGGUUUGUGACCCCUCUUCUCCACCGCCGCCAGAGCUACUGCAUAGCGUGGCUUCCCUCUUCUAUUUCUUCCGCUGCCGCCUUCUUCUCUUUCAUUUAGGCUGCCACUGAUUUCUAGUCGAGCAGCUGUGCAACAGUUUACUGGUUCCUAUCCCUAGUAAGUGAAGUCUAUUGAUCUGAUCUGCCUAGCCGAUUCCAUCUGUUGCAGCCAGCAGCGAGAGGAAAGAGAAGCAGGGAGGGGGAAAGAUUUGGGCCUUGCAAGAUCCACCAAAUUUCUUUAGAAAAGCUUAAUUUGUGGGUUAAGGUUCAAUUCUAGUGGCAAGCAUGUGACGUCGGAUUCUCGACAAGGUUAAGGCAAGUGCAACGAAGAAUUUCUUGUUGUGUGGAUAUGUUUAUCGUUUUCUUGCUGUCCACCUGGAUUAUAUUUAUUUGGUGGCUUUAUUUCAUAUGUUAGAUUCUUCAAGUUUAUGCUGUAAUUUCUGAUUCCUUAAAUAUUAUUCAAGCGCCGGGAGUUUAAAUAAACACCGAUUGUGCAA